UGAGGGACUUCUACCUGUGUUAUCCUGCAAUUCUCACAAACACAUUAGUCCCUCAACUAGGUUUGUCGUCAAUACUCCAAAACCAACUAGGGGUGGCACUAGAUGCACUUACACAGAUCCACAACUACAAAUAAAUGGAAAGGCUGGGAAUACAGAAGCCUCGUUUACACAAUUGUUAUCAAAUCUUCCUUUGAUAUCAAGUGAGGGUUCAGUAUCAAAAACAAGUGACAUAAUAGCAUCGGAAUUUUCAUCUCUGGAGCAGUUGAUGGUAUUGAUGGAUGUAGAUAUGUCAGGUGUUGAAAACAUUAGAAGUGUUAUAGAAAGAGAGGAAUUUGUGAUAGAGGAUAGCAUCAAUGCAUGGAUAUGUUGCCACAAGGAGAGGAUGAGACUCAUUUAUGGAAGAAGCAUCGGGCUGCCUCUGGUUCCACCAUCACAACUUACCCAACUUCAUCUUUAUUCAUGCAGUAUUACAGAUGGGGCAUUAGUUAUUUGCCUUAAUACUCUCACUUCUCUGAGAAUGCUGACCUUAGAUAAGAUCAUGACUUUGACUACACUUCCAUCUCAAGAGGUCCUCCAACAUUUGACAGAGCUUCGCUACCUGUGCAUCGAGUCUUGCUGGUGUCUCAGGUCAUUAGGGGGUUUACGAGCUGCUACCUCUCUUUUGGAUGUCAGAUUUUACUCCUGCCCUUCUCUAGACUUGGCACGUGGAGCAGAUGAAAUGCCAUUAUCACUUACGAUGCUCAUUACAUCCCGGUGCGUGGUUGGAGCUAAUUUCUUCAGUAGUGGUCUACCGCACCUGAGAUCUUGACAUGGGUGGCUGUGGAGGCCUUGCAUCCUUGUCAAUUGGUCAUCUGACCUCCCUUGCAUCAUUAAGACUAGUAGAUCUCCCUGAUCUGUGCUUUAUUGAAGGACUGUCUUUCCUGCAACUUCACAGCGUAUAUUUAAAAGAUGUCCCGAAGCUCAAAGCGAAGUGCAUCUCACAGUUUCGGGUGCAGAAAUCACUCAGUGUUAGCAGUCCUGUGAUACUCAACCACAUGCUCUCGGCUAAAGGUUUUACAGUUCCAGAAUUCCUCAAUCUUAUUAAUUGCAAGGAGCCAUCUGUUUCAUUCGAAGAAUCUGCAAAUUUCUCAUCCCUGCGGUACCUGUCAUUAUAUAGUAGUGAAAUGAGGUCCCUGCCAAUAAAUCUGAAGUGUCUGUCCAGUCUGACAAAGCUUGGUAUCUACGGGUGCCCCAACAUAUCAUCUUUACCUGAUCUACCAUCCUCCCUUCAACAUAUAUGUGUUCGGCGUUGUGAGCGCUUGAAGGAGAGCUGCCAAACACCCGAUGGAGAAAGCUGGCCAAAGAUUGCGAGUAUCCGCUGCAAGGAAAUCGAAUGAACUGCGAUUUCAGAUUCACAGCUAUAAAUAAAUGCAAAGGCUGGGAGAAUGAAGCUUCGUUUUCCAACAGUCUCAAGAUCCAGUGACCUCGUCUCCACUGCCUUCAGGAGUCGAGUGUUGGACUGCCUCAAGUUCACUUACACUUGAACUCUCUCCGCGCUGUGGCUGGUGCGGACCCCUUGGCUCCUUUCUACCUCGACUGUAGCAUGCAUCGCUCUUCCACUCUUGACGGCCCCACUGCUGUGCUGAGACACGUGUGUCUAAGUUUGAAUCUUGUUCUAUGUGGUUAUGUUUUGUUAUCCUGUCUUGGAGUGUGGUACUUUUGAGUUUGCUUGAUGCUGGACUGCUGGUCAUAAAUAUUACUCCUAUUUCUUAUGUGCUGAGAUGUACUUCGAUAUCUCACGACCUCUGAAGGGCUAAGCUCCACAACUCUGUACAAUAUUGUAGCUGAACUUCUGCAUUAUGUUUGGAGUUUGCUGAAGGUCUGAUGUGAAGCAAAUCUGAACACUACUAGCAGUUACACGCCCUCACGGCAGGCCUUAACUUCUCGUCAAGUUGUAGCAGUCACCAUGUGAAUCAUUUGAUCCUGCGGUCAUUCUGGAGACAGGGAGAAGUAACUACAUAGGUCUAAAAGAUUUUUUUUAGAGAUGAUGGUUUAGGGUGCACUGACUAUUAAUCUUGACAGCAUGUGUUCUGGGAAAAAAUUUAACCACAAGGGCCCAAGGUGCACAAGCAAAUCCAGCACUGUAGAAAACCGCACCACAGUGGAAAAUGUCUAACUCUGAUGUCUGAACUAGAUCGGCCAGAUGGGUGCAGUUCAG
This is a non-coding RNA of Triticum urartu, 2197 nucleotides long. The record is from RefSeq and is a predicted model, not a curated record. Lineage: Eukaryota; Viridiplantae; Streptophyta; Magnoliopsida; Poales; Poaceae.